GACGAUCGCUGGAGGCGUGCUUAACACAUGCAAGUCGAACGAUGAAAUGGAGCUUGCUCCAUGGAUUAGUGGCGAACGGGUGAGUAACACGUGAAUAACCUGCCCUUAAUUUUGGAAUAACCCAGGGAAACCUGGGCUAAUACCGGAUAAGUAAACCUGUGGCAUCACAUGGUUUUGGAAAGUUUUUCGAUUAAGGAUGGAUUCGCGGCCUAUCAGCUUGUUGGUGAGGUAAUGGCUCACCAAGGCGACGACGGGUAGCCGGCCUGAGAGGGUGAACGGCCACACUGGGACUGAGACACGGCCCAGACUCCUACGGGAGGCAGCAGUGGGGAAUAUUGCGCAAUGGACGAAAGUCUGACGCAGCGACGCCUCGUGAGGGACGGAGGUCUUCGGAUUGUAAACCUCUUUCAGCAGGGACGAAGCGAAAGUGACGGUACCUGCAGAAGAAGCACCGGCUAACUACGUGCCAGCCGCCGCGGUAA
RNAcentral lists this ribosomal RNA (482 nucleotides) under uncultured bacterium. Its description in RNAcentral is "partial 16S ribosomal RNA". It matches the Rfam family "Bacterial small subunit ribosomal RNA", at positions 28 to 523 of the family's 1533-position model. The record is from RNAcentral.